Molecule: ribosomal RNA, 542 nt
Filed under: Vibrio campbellii ATCC BAA-1116
Lineage: Bacteria; Pseudomonadati; Pseudomonadota; Gammaproteobacteria; Vibrionales; Vibrionaceae
Description: SSU rRNA
Rfam family: Bacterial small subunit ribosomal RNA
Source: RNAcentral
AGAUUGAACGCUGGCGGCAGGCCUAACACAUGCAAGUCGAGCGGAAACGAGUUAUCUGAACCUUCGGGGAACGAUAACGGCGUCGAGCGGCGGACGGGUGAGUAAUGCCUAGGAAAUUGCCCUGGUGUGGGGGAUAACCAUUGGAAACGAUGGCUAAUACCGCAUAAUGCCUACGGGCCAAAGAGGGGGACCUUCGGGCCUCUCGCGUCAGGAUAUGCCUAGGUGGGAUUAGCUAGUUGGUGAGGUAAGGGCUCACCAAGGCGACGAUCCCUAGCUGGUCUGAGAGGAUGAUCAGCCACACUGGAACUGAGACACGGUCCAGACUCCUACGGGAGGCAGCAGUGGGGAAUAUUGCACAAUGGGCGCAAGCCUGAUGCAGCCAUGCCGCGUGUGUGAAGAAGGCCUUCGGGUUGUAAAGCACUUUCAGUCGUGAGGAAGGUAGUGUAGUUAAUAGCUGCAUUAUUUGACGUUAGCGACAGAAGAAGCACCGGCUAACUCCGUGCCAGCAGCCGCGGUAAUACGGAGGGUGCGAGCGUUAAUCG